GACGAACGCUGGCGGCGUGCUUAACACAUGCAAGUCGAACGGAAAGGCCCUGCUUUUGUGGGGUGCUCGAGUGGCGAACGUGUGAGUAACACGUGAGUAACCUGCCCUUGACUUUGGGAUAACUUCAGGAAACUGGGGCUAAUACCGGAUAGGAUCUCCUGCUGCAUGGUGGGGGUUGGAAAGUUUCGGCGGUUGGGGAUGGACUCGCGGCUUAUCAGCUUGUUGGUGGGGUAGUGGCUUACCAAGGCUUUGACGGGUAGCCGGCCUGAGAGGGUGACCGGCAACAUUGGGAGUGAGAGACGGACCAGAAUGCAACGGGAGGCAGCAGUGGGGAAUAGUGAAAAAUGGGCGGAAGCCAGAUGCAGCAACGCCGCGUGCGGGAUGAAGGCCUUCGGGGUGUAAACCGAUUUCGACUGUGACGAAGCGUGAGUGACGGUAAUGGGUAAAGAAGCACCGGCUAACUACGUG
Molecule: ribosomal RNA, 468 nt
Filed under: uncultured bacterium
Lineage: Bacteria
Description: partial 16S ribosomal RNA
Rfam family: Bacterial small subunit ribosomal RNA
Source: RNAcentral